This 474-nucleotide ribosomal RNA is filed under the name uncultured bacterium. RNAcentral's name for it is "SSU rRNA". It matches the Rfam family "Bacterial small subunit ribosomal RNA", at positions 26 to 521 of the family's 1533-position model. The record is from RNAcentral.
AGGAUGAACGCUGGCGGCGUGCCUAACACAUGCAAGUCGAACGUCCUGUCUCGCAAGAGGCAGGGAGUGGCGGACGGGUGAGUACCACGUGGGUCAUCUACCGUGAGGUGAGGAAUACCGGCGAGAAAUCGCCGACAAGACCGCAUAGGCUCGAUGCAAGUCGAGCAAAGCUCUUUCGAGAGAGGGAGCGCCACACGAGGAGCCUGCGCCCGAUUAGCUAGCUGGUGGAGUAACGGUUCACCAGGGCGACGAUCGGUAGCUGGUCUGAGAGGACGAUCAGCCACACUGGGAUUGAGAACGGCCCAGACUCCUACGGGGGGCAGCAGUGAGGAAUUUCGUCAAUGGGGGCAACCCUGAACGAGCAACGCCGCGUGCAGGAGAAGGUUUUCGGAUCGUAAACUGCUUUUCUCGGGAAGAGAACGGACGGUACCCGAGGAAUCAGCCCCGGCUAACGUACGUGCCAGCAGCCGCGGU